CCCCAACGAGGUCCAGAGCGUGUUUUCAAGUUGGGUGACGUUUGUCCCACAGCAGCGCCACAGCCUCGGAAGUCAGAUGCGGCCCGCCGCACGCAGCUCGCGAACUGGGGACCGCCCGAGGUGUCCACAAUCUGGCAGCGGCGCAAGAGUGGGCAAGCUAUCAGACCUUCUUGAAGUGGAAACCCUCCCUGCUGCAGGGAAGCCCUCAGGCCGGGGGUGUCUCACCAUUUGCAGAGCUUCCAGCCCGGCCCCCUUACCUGAGCGCCGCCGCCCUGCGCUCCCCGCGGCCCGAGCGAUAGCUGUGCAGAGCCCCCUGGAUGUCCUCUCGGAUCAGCUCCGCCUGUCAAUCACGCCGUCAGGCCACGACCGCAACCCACCCACUGCCCGCCCAGGCGGCUCUCCGGAUCGAUUCCUCAGCUCGGCCCCAGACCACGUCCAGUCGUAGCUCACGCACUGCGCCCACGCACGUCCACGCCCUGAACUCACACCCCGGCUCUUAAACGGUCCCUGCCUUAGGCCCCUCCCCCAGCCACGGAAGCCCCCUCCAGCUGGCGCUUCGCCCCUGACCACACUCACUCCCAUCCUAGUUCUGGCUGCUCCCCCAGACCCUCACUUCCAUGUUCUGUCCACGUUCUGUCCGAGCUCUUAGCUCUUAGCCUCCGUCUCCAUUCGGCCCUCUCGAUCCUUCUCGACCCUACGUUCAAUCUGUUCUCAAAUCCCCCUCCCUCCCAGAAUUCCUUUACAGGUCACGCCCCCUCCGCUGGCCCUGACCCCGCCUUUGCCGUACACCGUGCCCCCCGUCUUAGAGGCCCCGCCCCGUUGGAGGUCCGGCUCCGGACUCCGCCCAGUUUCAGCUCCGGGUCCGGAAUCCGCAGGGUCUCAGUCUGUGGCCCCGACCCCCGCUCGCUCACCCCCAGACGCAGGCCCUGGAAGAAGUGCACGUCGGGCUGCGUGCGCUCGGGCUCCUGGCACACGAGCAGCAGCAGUGAGCAGCUCUGGCCCGGCGGUAUCACCGUGUCGCAACGCACGAUGGCGCUCAGCGGGUAAGACUCCAGCUCCUCCUGUGGGGUGGAGGGUGGGACAGCGGGUAAACUGAGACCCGGAGCCAAGGAUACUCCUAAGUGGUGACAGCAGUGCCAGCAGUGCCAGCACGUACAGGCACUGCGCAGGGCAACCUCCACCCCAAGUUGAGGGGCCAGGGAUAACACCCCUGUUUAAUAGAUGAGGCUAAUGAGGUUCAAAAAGGGGGCGGGGGUCCCUUGCCAAAGUUCCUAGAGGAAGGACGUGCAGGAAUCAAGAUUCACACUCAGAUCCCUGAGGUCCCUAGGGCUCUCCAUGCCUUGGUGGGCUCAGUCCAAGCUGCUCCUUCCACCCGUGUGCCCCGUGGCACCUUGGAGACUGGGUCCAGCAGCGCAACGUGUUUGGGAGACACGCGCAGCAGCAUGUCCUGGGCCCAGACGCGGCCUUGGCUGUCCAUGAGGGCCAGCUUCCGCGAGGCGUCCUCCACCGUGUGCACGCCAUCCUCCUCACCCAGGCAGAAGGUCACCAGGUGCUGGAGAAAGCAGUGAGUCCCAGGAUGAAGCCAGGUGGGCUGAGAAGCCCCUGGAAUCAGCCUUAUAGCCGGCGACUACGCACACCUCCUCUGGGAAGCCUUCUCUGAUCACCUGCGCCACCUCCUCCCAGUGCCCUUUGUGUGUCUUCCCUGGGUCUAGCUCUCCAGCUAGACCCCUUGAAGGCAGAGAAUGGUCUGGAUUAUAUCUAGUUCCUUCUAAGCAGCUCUACCUCCGUUAGAGCACCUGGCAAUUUUGCUGGUACCUCUGGACCUUGUCUGACCCCUACUCAUCCAGGAUUGCAUCUGAUUUGUCCCUGUGGUCCAACUAUCCAGCACAGGAGCUGGUCCAGAGGAAAAGUUGGCAGAUUCAAGUGGAAUUGAGUUCCUCCACUGAAUACCCACAUCUGAGGCAAGGCAGAAGAGCAAACUGAGUUUCCCAAGUUCUUGCUGCUUGGAGGUCCAACUGCUUUCAACUCCCCCAUCUCCUCAGGCCUGCCUUGCCUCCUGCAAGACUCCCCGUGGCAACACAGACCCCAGACUCACAUUGACUGGAUAUUGGGAAACAUCGGCCAUAACCUCGGUGGAGUAACGCUUCCUCUGUUCUGUGGGGGAAGAAGGAGAAUGGCUGCAGGAGACCCAGCUCCCAGCCCCUUCCCCCUCAGACUCAGGAGUCCAGACCCCCAGCCCCCCCUCCCUCAGAAAAGGAGUCCAGACCCCCAACCCCUCCCCCAUCAGAUCCAGGAGUUCGGGUCCUCAGUUACCUCCUCCCUCAGACCUAGUUUCUCUUGGCCCGGGGCUUCCUUGCCCCUCAACUCACCAUAGAUAGACUUGGCACUCCGUUUGGGAGAAGCUUCUGGACUAGUGAAGGAAAAGAGGGGUGAGAGGGGCCAUGGGAAUUGGGGGCAGAUCAUGGGAGUUUUGAGUGCCCAGCAGAGCUUGUGAGGGCGGUGGGGAGCCAUGGAGGGUUUUGAGCAGGGGAGGGCAGGGCCAGAGCUGGACUUUAACGAGACAAGUAUGGCAGUGGUGCUGGCUCGUGGUGGCGAGUGUGGUCUCUACUGUCACACAGACCUGGGUUCGAAUCCCCUGUCAGCUACUGCUUUGUCAUGAGACCCCGGGUGGGAGACGAUCUCUCCUGCUUCAGUUUGCCUUUCCAUAAGACAGGGGUUGGUUACCCUAUAGUGUCUGUUGGGUGAAUUCAAUGAGAUGAUGCAGUUGGAAUGUUGUGCAGCCUUAGUAACUGUUAUUAUCAUCAUUAAGAUGAUGCAAAGCGCUUAACACACAGUAGUUGCUCAAUAAAUGGGAUUUUUUUUUUUU
Molecule: long non-coding RNA, 2866 nt
Filed under: Phocoena sinus (vaquita)
Lineage: Eukaryota; Metazoa; Chordata; Mammalia; Artiodactyla; Phocoenidae
Description: lncRNA (ENSPSNG00000007056.1)
Source: RNAcentral